Molecule: long non-coding RNA, 477 nt
Filed under: Sus scrofa (pig)
Lineage: Eukaryota; Metazoa; Chordata; Mammalia; Artiodactyla; Suidae
Description: lncRNA (ENSSSCG00070020955.1)
Source: RNAcentral
AAAACUUCUCUGCCAGCUAACAAGAUUUUUCUCAUUAUAUUUCCAAUAUAUUUAUUCCUUGACCUUAAGGUCGAGCUUCUUCCUUUGUAGGACUGAUGUGUGCAGAGAAUCAGCAUUAAAGCUUCGAACAUGUGAUACGUGACUGGAUGGAGUUCCUGGAGAGCUGUAUUAACAUGUUUCAGAGUUGAAUUCUGAGGUUAGUGCCGUGUCAGAAAACAGGGUCCCUCAAGAAUGUGCAUAGUAAUUAUUUGUAUAGUUCAUAGCUAUUGUAGCAUAUCCUUCGUAAGUGAAUGAUAAAUAUUGUAUUUAAAACAACAUAAGAGCCUCAAUUCUGUAGAGGACUACGUUGCAGCCUUUUGUUGUGCUCUGAGAUGCUCAGGAAUUGAUGUGUUAAGCGGACUUUGAACCUUCUGGUGUCCUCCGGCAGCCUCAGAACUCCUCCCCUUGGCCCUGUGGACUCUGGCCACAGUAGGGGCG